This 474-nucleotide ribosomal RNA is filed under the name uncultured bacterium. Its description in RNAcentral is "SSU rRNA". It matches the Rfam family "Bacterial small subunit ribosomal RNA", at positions 26 to 518 of the family's 1533-position model. The record is from RNAcentral.
AGGACGAACGCUGGCGGCGUGCUUAACACAUGCAAGUCGAGCGGAAAGGCCCUUCGGGGUACUCGAGCGGCGAACGGGUGAGUAACACGUGAGUAACCUGCCCUUAGCUCUGGGAUAGCUCCGGGAAACCGGGAUUAAUACCAGAUACGACCACUUUAGACAUCUUUUGUGGUGGAAAGAAUUUCGGCUAGGGAUGGGCUCGCGGCCUAUCAGCUUGUUGGUGAGGUAACGGCUCACCAAGGCGACGACGGGUAGCCGGCCUGAGAGGGCGACCGGCCACACUGGGACUGAGACACGGCCCAGACUCCUACGGGAGGCAGCAGUGGGGAAUAUUGCGCAAUGGGCGAAAGCCUGACGCAGCGACGCCGCGUGGGGGAUGAAGGCCUUCGGGUUGUAAACCCCUUUCAGCAGGGACGAAGCGAAAGUGACGGUACCUGCAGAAGAAGCGCCGGCUAACUACGUGCCAGCAGCCGC